Molecule: ribosomal RNA, 557 nt
Filed under: Vitreorana baliomma
Lineage: Eukaryota; Metazoa; Chordata; Amphibia; Anura; Centrolenidae
Description: partial small subunit ribosomal RNA
Rfam family: Bacterial small subunit ribosomal RNA
Source: RNAcentral
GACCCUAAAAAGUCCUUUAAACACAAAGGUUUGGUCCUGACCUUGAAAUCAGUUAUUACUUAAUAUACACAUGCAAGUCUCCGCACCCCUGUGAAAACGCCCUCAAACUCCCCACUAGGGAUAAGGAGCUGGUAUCAGGCACAAUAAUCUGCCCAAGACACCUAGUUACGCCACACCCACAAGGGAACUCAGCAGUGAUUAACAUUGAAUAUAAGCGACAGCUUGAUUCAGUUAAAGUAAAGAGAGCCGGCAAAUCUGGUGCCAGCCGCCGCGGUUACACCAUGUGGCUCAAAUUGAUUCUAAUCGGCGUAAAGCGUGAUUAAAAUUCCACCAUUAUUAGAGUUAAACUAAAACUAAGCUGUGACACGCUUGUAUUUAAGAAAACCAAAAACGAAAGUUACUCCAAUUUAAUCAAUUUGAACUCACGACAGCUAAGACACAAACUGGGAUUAGAUACCCCACUAUGCUUAACCGUAAACUUUAAAUUACACCCAAAUCGCCAGGGAACUACGAGCAAAGCUUAAAACCCAAAGGACUUGACGGUACCCCAUAUCCAC